This 615-nucleotide ribosomal RNA is filed under the name Salmonella enterica. RNAcentral's name for it is "partial 23S ribosomal RNA". It matches the Rfam family "Bacterial large subunit ribosomal RNA", at positions 161 to 815 of the family's 2925-position model. Lineage: Bacteria; Pseudomonadati; Pseudomonadota; Gammaproteobacteria; Enterobacterales; Enterobacteriaceae. The record is from RNAcentral. RNAcentral also lists the same sequence under 1 other name.
AAUCCAUAGGUUAAUGAGGCGAACCGGGGGAACUGAAACAUCUAAGUACCCCGAGGAAAAGAAAUCAACCGAGAUUCCCCCAGUAGCGGCGAGCGAACGGGGAGGAGCCCAGAGCCUGAAUCAGCAUGUGUGUUAGUGGAAGCGUCUGGAAAGGCGCGCGAUACAGGGUGACAGCCCCGUACACAAAAGCGCAUGUGCUGUGAGCUCGAUGAGUAGGGCGGGACACGUGGUAUCCUGUCUGAAUAUGGGGGGACCAUCCUCCAAGGCUAAAUACUCCUGACUGACCGAUAGUGAACCAGUACCGUGAGGGAAAGGCGAAAAGAACCCCGGCGAGGGGAGUGAAAAAGAACCUGAAACCGUGUACGUACAAGCAGUGGGAGCACAGGUUUACCUGUGUGACUGCGUACCUUUUGUAUAAUGGGUCAGCGACUUAUAUUCUGUAGCAAGGUUAACCGAAUAGGGGAGCCGGAGGGAAACCGAGUCUUAAUUGGGCGUUAAGUUGCAGGGUAUAGACCCGAAACCCGGUGAUCUAGCCAUGGGCAGGUUGAAGGUUGGGUAACACUAACUGGAGGACCGAACCGACUAAUGUUGAAAAAUUAGCGGAUGACCUGUGGC